GCCAGGUGCAGUGGCACAUGCCUGUAGUCACAGCUCACAGGAGGCUGAGGCAGGAGGAUUGCUUGAAGCCAGGAAUUCUGGGCUAUUAUAGUGUGCUCUGCUGAUUGGGUGUCCACACUAAGUUCGGUAUCAACAUGUUGAUCUCCUGGGAGUGGUGGACCUGCUCAGGCCAGAAAUGGAGCAGGUCAAAAUUCCCGUCCUGGUCAGUAGUGUUAUCGCCCCUGUGAAGAGCCACAGCACUCUAGCCUGGGCAACAUAGUAAGACCCUGUCUCAC
Macaca mulatta (Rhesus monkey) is the source of this 275-nucleotide unclassified non-coding RNA. It matches the Rfam family "Metazoan signal recognition particle RNA". From Rfam's summary of the family: The signal recognition particle (SRP) is a universally conserved ribonucleoprotein. It is involved in the co-translational targeting of proteins to membranes. The record is from Ensembl. NCBI's taxonomy places the organism in Eukaryota, Metazoa, Chordata, Mammalia, Primates, Cercopithecidae.